CGAAAGACCUUGCGCUUAAGGAGCGGCCGAUGUCUGAUUAGCUAGUUGGUAGGGUAAAGGCCUACCAAGGCGACGAUCAGUAGUUGGUCUGAGAGGACGACCAACCACACUGGGACUGAGACACGGCCCAGACUCCUACGGGAGGCAGCAGUGGGGAAUUUUGGACAAUGGGCGCAAGCCUGAUCCAGCCAUGCCGCGUGAGUGAAGAAGGCCUUCGGGUUGUAAAGCUCUUUCAGUUGGGAAGAAACGAUUGCAACUAAUAAUUGUAAUUAAUGACGGUACCGACAGAAGAAGCACCGGCUAACUACGUGCCAGCAGCCGCGGUAAUACGUAGGGUGCGAGCGUUAAUCGGAAUUACUGGGCGUAAAGGGUGCGCAGGCGGUUUUGUAAGUCAGAUGUGAAAUCCCCGGGCUUAACCUGGGAAUGGCGUUUGAA
RNAcentral lists this ribosomal RNA (435 nucleotides) under uncultured bacterium. Its description in RNAcentral is "bacterial SSU rRNA". It matches the Rfam family "Bacterial small subunit ribosomal RNA", at positions 201 to 631 of the family's 1533-position model. The record is from RNAcentral.